AGCAGCCGCGGUAAUUCCAGCUCCAAUAGCGUAUAUUAAAGUUGUUGCAGUUAAAAAGCUCGUAGUUGAAUUUCGGGAUCGAAUUGUUGGUCGUGCUUCGGUACGCACUGGCAUUAUCGGUUUCUACCUUCUGAAGAACCGCGAUGUCAUUAAUUUGGUGUCGCGGGGAAUCAGGACUGUUACUUUGAAAAAAUUAGAGUGUUUAAAGCAGGCUUACGCUUGAAUACAUUAGCAUGGAAUAAUGAAAUAGGACGUUUGAUUCUAUUUUGUUGGUUUCUAGGAUCGACGUAAUGAUUAAUAGGGAUAGUUGGGGGCAUUAGUAUUCAAUUGUCAGAGGUGAAAUUCUUGGAUUUAUUGAAGACUAACUACUGCGAAAGCAUUUGCCAAGGAUGUUUUCAUUAAUCAAGGACGAAGGUUAGGGGAUCGAAGACGAUCAGAUACCGUCGUAGUCUUAACCAUAAACUAUGCCGACUAGGGAUCGGAUGAUGUUAAUUUUUUAAUGACUC
Molecule: ribosomal RNA, 506 nt
Filed under: uncultured Glomeromycotina
Lineage: Eukaryota; Fungi; Glomeromycota
Description: SSU rRNA
Rfam family: Eukaryotic small subunit ribosomal RNA
Source: RNAcentral